This is a long non-coding RNA of Scomber japonicus (chub mackerel), 101 nucleotides long. RefSeq lists it as uncharacterized. The record is from RefSeq and is a predicted model, not a curated record. Lineage: Eukaryota; Metazoa; Chordata; Actinopteri; Scombriformes; Scombridae. The transcript has 3 exons.
CACUGGAGACUGGACACUCUCAGGGUGGACCAUGGUGGAGAGCAUUGGUUAAAACCUGGUGUGAAGAAGUAUUUCUGUGAACUCACACUGGACACAAACAC